CCUACGGGGGGCAGCAGUGGGGAAUAUUGGACAAUGGGGGGAACCCUGAUCCAGCCAUGCCGCGUGUGUGAAGAAGGCCCUCGGGUUGUAAAGCACUUUCAGUGAGGAAGAACGCCUGGUGGUUAAUACCCAUCAGGAAAGACAUCACUCACAGAAGAAGCACCGGCUAACUCCGUGCCAGCAGCCGCGGUAAUACGGAGGGUGCGAGCGUUAAUCGGAAUUACUGGGCGUAAAGCGCGCGUAGGUGGCUUGAUAAGCCGGUUGUGAAAGCCCCGGGCUCAACCUGGGAACGGCAUCCGGAACUGUCAAGCUAGAGUGCAGGAGAGGAAGGUAGAAUUCCCGGUGUAGCGAUGAAAUGCGUAGAGAUCGGGAGGAAUACCAGUGGCGAAGGCGGCCUUCUGGACUGACACUGACACUGAGGUGCGAAAGCGUGGGUAGCAAACAGGAUUAGAUACCCUUGUAGUC
RNAcentral lists this ribosomal RNA (465 nucleotides) under Vreelandella stevensii. RNAcentral's name for it is "partial 16S ribosomal RNA". It matches the Rfam family "Bacterial small subunit ribosomal RNA", at positions 338 to 795 of the family's 1533-position model. Lineage: Bacteria; Pseudomonadati; Pseudomonadota; Gammaproteobacteria; Oceanospirillales; Halomonadaceae. The record is from RNAcentral.